Molecule: ribosomal RNA, 439 nt
Filed under: uncultured bacterium
Lineage: Bacteria
Description: bacterial SSU rRNA
Rfam family: Bacterial small subunit ribosomal RNA
Source: RNAcentral
CUACGGGAGGCAGCAGUGGGGAAUAUUGCGCAAUGGGGGAAACCCUGACGCAGCAACGCCGCGUGCGGGAUGACGGCCUUCGGGUUGUAAACCGCUUUCAGCAGGGAAGAUAAUGACGGUACCUGCAGAAGAAGCCCCGGCUAACUACGUGCCAGCAGCCGCGGUAAUACGUAGGGGGCGAGCGUUAUCCGGAUUUAUUGGGCGUAAAGCGCGCGCAGGCGGCCACUCAAGCGAAACCUCUAAUCUUGCAGCUCAACUCCAAGCCGGGUUUCGAACUGGGUGGCUCGAGUGCGGUAGAGAAGGAUGGAAUUCCCGGUGUAGCGGUGGAAUGCGUAGAUAUCGGGAAGAACACCGAUGGCGAAGGCAGUCCUCUGGGCCGUCACUGACGCUGAGGCGCGAAAGCUGGGGGAGCGAACAGGAUUAGAAACCCUAGUAGUCC